RNAcentral lists this transfer RNA (68 nucleotides) under Rachycentron canadum (cobia). RNAcentral's name for it is "tRNA-Cys". It matches the Rfam family "tRNA". Rfam says of the family: Transfer RNA (tRNA) molecules are approximately 80 nucleotides in length. Their secondary structure includes four short double-helical elements and three loops (D, anti-codon, and T loops). Lineage: Eukaryota; Metazoa; Chordata; Actinopteri; Carangiformes; Rachycentridae. The record is from RNAcentral.
GGCCUUGAGGUGUAAUACAUAUAGGAUUGCAAACCCUAAGAAGUAGGCUUAUAUUCCUACCGGGGCCU